UACGUAGGGUGCAAGCGUUGUCCGGAAUUAUUGGGCGUAAAGAGCUCGUAGGCGGUCUGUCGCGUCGAAUGUGAAAACCCAGGGCUUAACCCUGGGCUGGCUUCCGAUACGGGCAGACUAGAGGUAUGCAGGGGAGAACGGAAUUCCUGGUGUAGCGGUGAAAUGCGCAGAUAUCAGGAGGAACACCGGUGGCGAAGGCGGUUCUCUGGGCAUUACCUGACGCUGAGGAGCGAAAGUGUGGGGAGCGAACAGG
RNAcentral lists this ribosomal RNA (253 nucleotides) under uncultured bacterium. RNAcentral's name for it is "partial 16S ribosomal RNA". It matches the Rfam family "Bacterial small subunit ribosomal RNA", at positions 524 to 776 of the family's 1533-position model. The record is from RNAcentral.